Molecule: ribosomal RNA, 274 nt
Filed under: uncultured bacterium
Lineage: Bacteria
Description: partial 16S ribosomal RNA
Rfam family: Bacterial small subunit ribosomal RNA
Source: RNAcentral
AUACGGAGGGUGCAAGCGUUGUUCGGAAUCACAGGGCGUAAAGGGCGCGCAGGCGGUUUUACAAGUCAGAUGUGAAAGCCCACGGCUCAACCGUGGAAGUGCAUUUGAAACUGUAAGACUUGAGUAUCAGAGGGGAAGGUGGAAUUCCCGGUGUAGAGGUGAAAUUCGUAGAUAUCGGGAGGAAUACCGGUGGCGAAGGCGACUUUCUGGCUAGAUACUGACGCUGAGGCGCGAAAGCGUGGGGAGCAAACAGGAUUAGAAACCCUUGUAGUCC